UAUGAAGACCACAUACAGUUUGUUCAUGGCCAUGUAUGGUGGGUGUGGAUGAGAGACCCCCAAGUUGAGGUUCUGGAUAAGGGUCCAUGCUCCACAUAUGGCCGUAUGUGGGGCGUAAGUUAGAGGAGGUGGCGGCCUUUUAAAGACCCAAAAUCAAUUUAAAUCCUAGUUUUUUCACAUCUUUCUUUCAGAAUUGAUCCCUCCUAAGUCUAUUUUUCAUCCCUCCAAUAUUCAAGAAAAUUGAAGUUAGCUUUUCAAGGAUGCUUAAGUGAAGAAAUUGUAAGAUUUUGGCAGCCAAGGAGUUGACGAGCACAUCCACCCUCCACAUAGUUAGAGUUGAGUUCCUACUUCUGCUAUUGGUGAAUCCUCAUUUGUUGAGGGACG
Molecule: long non-coding RNA, 384 nt
Organism: Solanum dulcamara
Lineage: Eukaryota; Viridiplantae; Streptophyta; Magnoliopsida; Solanales; Solanaceae
Exons: 3
Source: RefSeq, a predicted model, not a curated record